This 799-nucleotide ribosomal RNA is filed under the name Pseudoalteromonas sp. J2021s. RNAcentral describes it as "bacterial SSU rRNA". It matches the Rfam family "Bacterial small subunit ribosomal RNA", at positions 113 to 916 of the family's 1533-position model. Lineage: Bacteria; Pseudomonadati; Pseudomonadota; Gammaproteobacteria; Alteromonadales; Pseudoalteromonadaceae. The record is from RNAcentral.
AUGCUUGGGAACAUGCCUUGAGGUGGGGGACAACAGUUGGAAACGACUGCUAAUACCGCAUAAUGUCUACGGACCAAAGGGGGCUUCGGCUCUCGCCUUUAGAUUGGCCCAAGUGGGAUUAGCUAGUUGGUGAGGUAAUGGCUCACCAAGGCAACGAUCCCUAGCUGGUUUGAGAGGAUGAUCAGCCACACUGGAACUGAGACACGGUCCAGACUCCUACGGGAGGCAGCAGUGGGGAAUAUUGCACAAUGGGCGCAAGCCUGAUGCAGCCAUGCCGCGUGUGUGAAGAAGGCCUUCGGGUUGUAAAGCACUUUCAGUCAGGAGGAAAGGUUAGUAGUUAAUACCUGCUAGCUGUGACGUUACUGACAGAAGAAGCACCGGCUAACUCCGUGCCAGCAGCCGCGGUAAUACGGAGGGUGCGAGCGUUAAUCGGAAUUACUGGGCGUAAAGCGUACGCAGGCGGUUUGUUAAGCGAGAUGUGAAAGCCCCGGGCUCAACCUGGGAACUGCAUUUCGAACUGGCAAACUAGAGUGUGAUAGAGGGUGGUAGAAUUUCAGGUGUAGCGGUGAAAUGCGUAGAGAUCUGAAGGAAUACCGAUGGCGAAGGCAGCCACCUGGGUCAACACUGACGCUCAUGUACGAAAGCGUGGGAGCAAACAGGAUUAGAUACCCUGGUAGUCCACGCCGUAAACGAUGUCUACUAGAAGCUCGGAACCUCGGUUCUGUUUUUCAAAGCUAACGCAUUAAGUAGACCGCCUGGGGAGUACGGCCGCAAGGUUAAAACUCAAAUGAAUUGACGG